GACGAACGCUGGCGGCGUGCUUAACACAUGCAAGUCGAGCGGAAAGGCCCUUCGGGUUACUCGUGCGGCGAACGCGUGAGUAUCACGAACGUAACCUUCCCCAGACUUUGGGUUUACCCUCGCAAACGGGGGCUAAUACCAGAAACGGCUCGGCUUCGCAUGGGGUCUGUGUGGACAGUUAGUCGGUUGGGGAUGGGCUCGCGGCCUCUCAGCUUGUUGGUGGGGUUGUGGCCUACCAAGGCGACGACGGGUAGCCGGCCUGAGAGGGCGACCGGCCACACUGGGACUGAGACACGGCCCAGACUCCUACGGGAGGCAGCAGUGGGGAAUAUUGCACAAUGGGCGGAAGCCUGAUGCAGCGACGCCGCGUGAGGGAUGACGGCCUUCGGGUUGUAAACCGCUUUCAGCUGGGACGAAGCGUGAGUGACGGUACCUGCAGAAGAAGCACCGGCUAACUACGUG
RNAcentral lists this ribosomal RNA (462 nucleotides) under uncultured bacterium. RNAcentral describes it as "partial 16S ribosomal RNA". It matches the Rfam family "Bacterial small subunit ribosomal RNA", at positions 28 to 507 of the family's 1533-position model. The record is from RNAcentral.